Molecule: long non-coding RNA, 2201 nt
Organism: Vigna unguiculata (cowpea)
Lineage: Eukaryota; Viridiplantae; Streptophyta; Magnoliopsida; Fabales; Fabaceae
Source: RefSeq, a predicted model, not a curated record
GUUCUACCUGUAAUUGGGUCUUCACGUGAAGCAGGCCAUGUGGCAUCAAUACAUGAAGCCAGCGUUCACUUUGGAAUUUAUGUGCCUUCGCACCAUGUGUUUUUGGCUUUUAAAUUGAUUAUGCAAGCCACCCCAUUUCAUGUGCGUCUAGGAUUAUUCUCCUUUCAGCCACGCGAUGCUUACCCACUUUUAUGGCAUAGUUAGGUUCACCGUCCCAACCCUACACCUUCAAUGGUUUCUUCCUUCCCUUCUUCCUACCCUUAGCCUCUAGGGUUCCAACUUUCUGUUAGGACCAUAUUGUCAGACGACUUCUUCUUCCAUUUGCUUUUUCAUCUGCCUUCCUUCACUAUAAAAGAUAGGCCAACCUCUUGUAAAACUUAGCUUUGAUUAAUAGAGUGGAAUUAUCCCCGUUCUUCAGAGCUCACCUUCAACCUCUAGUUGAGGUUUCACACCUCCUAGGGUUUCCUAAACUAUGAGAACCCGAGAGAGCUUCUUUGUGGAAUUAAAUCAAGUUCCACCAAACGAUUUGGUUUUCCACUACGAGUUUCCUUCAAUUCCACUAAGGAAUCGACGAUUGGAGGUGGAUUGGACUGAGAUUCCAAUAAAUCUGCACGAUGCCGACCGCAUCACCCAUUCAUCUUCUUGCCCAUCUCUUGCUUCCUUCCACCAAGCAAUGUUUUUAUUGUCCCAAUUGAGUAGGUGGAUACUCCCAAGACUACUGCAGUGGGAAAAAAGAAGAGAUUAAAUCGUAGGUCUUCCUCCCAUGCUCCUUAGUUGGACUAUAUGGAGGUAGAAUUUGUGGAGAAUUAUGACCAGCAUAGGUUCGCAUUUGAGGAUGCUGCCAAUCAAUUUAUAGAGAUUGUGCCUCGAAGCUUCAUUCCAGAGCAAAAAGUGAAGCUUAAUCUGGGGGAGUUUGAUUAAUUCUAACUUGAGCUAAAGGGGGGAAAUGGCAUUGGAUACUAGGGGAUCUCCCUAAUGAGAUAGAUAAGGCAUUGAUGAAAGAAUUAUAUGCCAAUGCCUAUUAGAAAGUCAGAACUAAGCCCCGUCAAGCUAAGGUGCGAGGUAAGACAAUCAAAUAUGACAAGUGCACCUUAAACACUUUUCUGAGGAUAACUUGUGCUCGUCCUAGCCAGGAUACUCCAUUCAGUGCAUUCAUGAAUGGCCACAAAGAUUUUGAUGAGAUUGCCUCGGUCUUAUGUCUUCAUGGCCACACUUUUGUGUUAGGUGUUAAUGGCACGCCUGUUCUGCUCGUCAAAAAACACUUGAAGUCAUUGGCUCAAAUUUGGAGUGCAUUCUCUUACACCAACCUCUGCCCCAACACCCACACUUUUGAUAUGAAAUUGGAGAGGGCUUAUCUCAUUUUUGGGAUAAUCACUAAGCUGGACAUGGAUGUUAGUGCACUUAUUUCGCAAGAUAUAGCCUAUACUGUUGAUGUUAUCAAUGUAAACUUGGGCUUUCCUCCCAUAAUCACAGCAUUUUGCAGGGAGAAUGGCCUUGUUUUUGACACUCAUGUGUUGUUAUCUCUCGCUCCUCCCCUGGAUAGGAAAUUCUUGAACAAAAACUACACCAACAGGGUAGUUGAUGCCCCUGCUCCUACACAUCCAUGCCACCCACAUCGUUCCUGAAUUGUUUCUGUUAAUUUUGUGGCAACUUUCCAGACCCCCAUGGCCAAGAUGUUUGCCCGAUAGGAUGAUAUGUGAUAUGCUCACAACGCAGUCUACUAUGGGCAAGUGUCCCUCAUGGAUAACAUGCACUAGCUGUCUUUGGGUAUUGCAGACUUUCCUGACGGUGCUAUCAUGAUAGGUACCCAAUUUGAGGCACUUAUUCCUUGGCCUGAGGGUAAGCCUGCAUCUCAGUCGCGGGAUGAUUUGCUUGAUGUUGAUAAUGAUGAUGAGGAAGAGCAAGAGUACGAAGAGCAACAACAACAACAACAAUAAGAACAAUGUAUGCAGAUGAUGUAGAAAAUGUCAAUAUCCAAAAUGUGAUACUAAAUGAAGGGUCCUCCGCUAUUGAAUCAAAUGUUAUAAGCAUGGAAGAUGAAGAACAAUAGACUAUGACCAUGAAGAUGAAGAUGUUUCUUGGACUGUUUGUUUUAUUUGGACUAUUGUUUAGUUUUGGCCUAUUUUUUAUGACAUUGCACUUGUUUCGAUUAUCCAUGACUUGAUUUUAUAAAGUGUUUUCUUAUUCUUUAUUGCACUUGA